This is a long non-coding RNA of Dama dama (fallow deer), 2334 nucleotides long. RefSeq lists it as uncharacterized. The transcript has 3 exons. NCBI's taxonomy places the organism in Eukaryota, Metazoa, Chordata, Mammalia, Artiodactyla, Cervidae. The record is from RefSeq and is a predicted model, not a curated record.
GGCGGGCUCUGUUGCGCCUGCGCAACUGGCCGCCCGCCGAGGUCCUGGAGCGCAUGUGCACAGGGAGAAGUGAAGAACUGGGUGGAGUCUGACUGCCGCUGUCAUAGGGUGCUCCAGCUCACGGUAUGUGGAAAGAUUUGCUGCGUUUCUAAAGAAUCUCAGAAAACAAGCUGCAUUUCAGAACCUAAACCAGCAUUUGCUUUUCUUCACUCUGAGGGAGCACACAAGUAUUGAAUUCUCUGCCAUUGGGCACGCCAAGACCUGAAUUGUGGUUCCAGGAUCCUAUAUUUCGCCAUGAGAUUGGAAGGGGUUCUGAGUUGCUGGUUAUUGCUGAGACGCCUGGUGUCCUAUUAUUUGCACCGACCCUUCAUGUCCACUGCCUGAGUGUCUGAUCUUCAUCCUUGACUUACAGAAACCUUUUGUGAGGCUGUGAAUCCUGCAGCCUAGAGUCCUAUCUCCUGGCUGUAACAUGGGGUCAGUCUUCUCUGGGUUGUGUCCCUCUGGUGCUGCCAAGGAGCAAGGCCUGGGUCCCCAGGUUGUAGGUCCUACAAACUCAUCUUCAUCUACAACCCAGGGGCAUCUCUAGUCUGCCUGGAGUACUUGCCUGCAUUAUGCUCCUCUGAGGCUGGUUUAUCUUGCUCGUUUAUAGCAAUCUUAAUGGUCUUUUAAAUCCCAAUCCCCUGUCACUACAACCAAAACUUUUUUUCCUUUUCCUUAAAUUUCUAUGGGAGGUUAAGGGAGACAUCUGUUAUCCAGUUCUUUCAGCAAAAAAGAGAAGAAAAAAUUUAAAUCCUGCCAUAUGCUGAUCUCCUAACUGACAUCCUUGCCUUUUUUUUCCUCUUCUCUGUUCCAAUUAUUUUGUACAUUCCAGUCAGAAUAGUUGUUCUAAAACUCCUGCCCAGAAACUCAGUGGCUUCUCAUUGUCUCUAGAAUAAAAUCAAAGCUCCAAGCUCCUUAGUCUACCAUUAGGGCUUUUCAUGAUUUUCUUCACCUUUGAAAGCUGACUCCCCAUUACUCCUUUGUCAGAGGCCCCUGGUCUAACCCUGUUCCUCUAACGCCACGGCUCCACCUCCUGGCCCCCCAUGUUUUCCCACCUCCUCACUACACCUGACUGAUGUGCCACCCAGAUCAAGUGCUUGCUGCUUCAAACAGCUUGGUGGUUUUUAGCCCAUUUCACAGUGAUGUAGUCCACCUUAAACCUAGUUCUCUUCCAUACAUCCAUUUGGUACCCGAGGUUAUGGUUUAUCAUAUGGUGCCUGUUUCUUCCUUUCUCAUCUAGAUUUGUGAGCCUCUCAAAUACAGAGACUUCCAUUUUCUUGUAUCCUGAGCCACCACAGAGCUCUUCAUGGUAUGGGGUGCUCACUAAGUGCUAAUUAGUGAAUAUCAUGACCUGGCCAUGAGAUCCUUCCUAAGCACACCCAGACCUGCCAUAGCGUAGGAAGCAGGAAAAUAAAGGGAAAACGGGGCCAGUUUUAUUACUGCCAUGAAAAUAAUGUGUUUCAUUGGUUUGUACCAUCAAGGAGUAGCCUCCUUGCUUGCCUCCAACACACAACGAAGCAUCUGCCCUAACAUCGGCAAACACAUUCCACUAUCAGAGUAAGUAGUCCAGAGCUCUUCGGGGUGGUUGGCACUCUAGCUUUGCUGUCCUUUUGCUUCUCCACAGGCUACCCUUCACAAUAGGUUUCUCUGUCAUGAAUGCAAACUAGCCAGUCCCUCUUGAACAUAUCAACAUACCUUGACACCUGCUCAAAGUAAUUUUCCUCUCACUAAGCUAGGGUUAAUAAACACAAAUGGUCGCCAUUUACUUCUCCUUGGCUGAUCUGGGAGAGUGUCUUCACACAGAUAGGCAGGUUGGCUGGAUAGGCAACUCUCGCUCAUACUCUGGGGAAGUAGAGAGUUUCCUGCUUCAGCCUGUGGGGCUCUAUGAAUACUUCACUUGCUGCUCACACCAGCUUCCUGCGGAAUCCCCCAGCCCCCAUGCUAAGUCCUUCUGGCCUUCAUUCAUGUUGAUCUAGUGACAGGGAACAGGCAGAGAGGAAUCCAGCAUCAUCCUGGUAGUCUGACUGGAUAACACUAAAAGCUUUCCAAUACUUCAAAUCUUUGAUCCUAUAAUUUUUACUUGCAUUGCUUUUAAUCAACACUUAGAAUCCCCUAGCUUUCUGCUAAUCCCUUCAGCCUCCUCACCUUGGCCUCUUUCCCACUUGAUAGAUUCAUUCUAGCCACUCAGGCCUUGUCUCAGCUCCUUCAGUAUGUUGCUUCUGCUUUCGCAUAUGUUCUCUCUGCUCUCUAGGUCUCUAUUCUCCCCACCAGCCAUUUGUCUAAUCCUACUUAGCU